RNAcentral lists this transfer RNA (74 nucleotides) under Candidatus Parcubacteria bacterium. RNAcentral describes it as "tRNA-Gln". It matches the Rfam family "tRNA". Rfam says of the family: Transfer RNA (tRNA) molecules are approximately 80 nucleotides in length. Lineage: Bacteria; Candidatus Parcubacteria. The record is from RNAcentral.
UCCGGGGUCGUCUAAUGGUAGGACACGAGGUUCUGGCCCUCGAAAUCUUGGUUCGAAUCCAGGCCCCGGAACAA